RNAcentral lists this ribosomal RNA (987 nucleotides) under Triticum aestivum (bread wheat). Its description in RNAcentral is "partial small subunit ribosomal RNA". Lineage: Eukaryota; Viridiplantae; Streptophyta; Magnoliopsida; Poales; Poaceae. The record is from RNAcentral.
AUGAAGAUGGAGCCGGCCGCCGGAAAAAGGCCAAGAACCACCGAUCGGACCUGUGCAAGACCAACAAGUAUUGCUGACCGCAUCAGCGAUCUACCUGAUGCCAUCCUCGGUGAGAUCAUCUCCCUUCUUUCCACCAAGGACGCCGCUCGCACCCAAGCCCUCGCGUCUCGGUGGCGCCAUCUAUGGCGCACCGCCUCUCUUAACCUCGACUUCCGUGGCCUCCCUGCCAAUCACACUGAUGUCCUCCCCGGCAUCAUCCUCGCCGCCCACGAGGGACUGGUUCACCGUCUCUGCCUCCCGGCGCGUUACCUCUCAGACAAAGCCGCUGCCAUGGAAGCCUGGAUCCAAUCCCCUGCUCUGGAUAAGCUCCAGGAGCUCGACUUCUACCUACUAGAGCUGCCAAAUACAUGUGUAGAUCUGCAAUCGCCACCGGCGUCCAUCUUCCGAUUCUCGUCCACUCUCCGCGUGGCCACCAUCAGCAUGUGCUCUCUCAUGGACUAUUCUGUUGAAACACUCCGCUUUCCUCAGCUCAGGAAGUUUGCACUGGUGGCAGUCGACAUCUCGGAGGACUCGUUGUGCCACGUUAUCAACACAUGCUGCCCUGCCCUAGAGUGCUUGCUGCUGAGAACCAAUUUUAACGUUCAUGGUGUCAGGAUCAACUCCCCUACCCUUCAAAGUGUAGGUAUUCAUGCGAGCGUUGUAGAACUCACCGUUGAGAAUGCCCCGUCACUUGAAAGGUUGCUCUGCUUGAAAAUGCAUAUGAAAAUGAUAGUGUCAGUAGUCUCCGCGCCCAAACUGGAGACCUUGGGUUGCAUUUCUCACCAUGAAUGGGGCUCCAAAAUCAUGUUUGGCACCACAGUUAUCGAGGUAGCUAUGCCCAUUGUACUUCUUGCUAGAUUUCGGUGUCCACAAAGGUUAUGUAUGUUUUCUAUACUGAUUUAUGUCUUAAUAUUGUGUUCCAUGAUUCAUAAAGGGUUUGCGCGUUGA